AUGAUGAGAGCGACAUCAUCACCCUCACCCACUUCCCCUCUGCGUUCGUCUUCUUUUCUCCGUUGUUUGUUGUCUAAUGGUUUUCUCCUUCAAUCGAACUCGCAGUGGAUCCAACAAACCAAACCUCCAAUGGCGUUCACUCCUAACCAUCGAACCCUUAUAGCUUCCACAACGGCGAUCUCCGUCUUAAUAGAUCGUCACAAGCAUGAUGAAACUCUGAUGAAUCAAAUUAGAAGUGAAGAUGUAGAAGUGUUGAUGAAUCGUUGCAGAACAAGAUGA
Non-coding RNA from Vicia faba (fava bean), 279 nucleotides. The record is from the annotation of a GenBank genome assembly. NCBI's taxonomy places the organism in Eukaryota, Viridiplantae, Streptophyta, Magnoliopsida, Fabales, Fabaceae.